RNAcentral lists this ribosomal RNA (499 nucleotides) under uncultured bacterium. Its description in RNAcentral is "bacterial SSU rRNA". It matches the Rfam family "Bacterial small subunit ribosomal RNA", at positions 29 to 523 of the family's 1533-position model. The record is from RNAcentral.
AUUGAACGCUGGCGGCGUGCUUAACACAUGCAAGUCGAUCGGUAACAGGUGUAGCAAUACAUGCUGACGAGAGGCGGACGGGUGAGUAAUGCUUGGGAAUCUGCCUAUUAGUGGGGGACAACCCGGGGAAACUCGGGCUAAUACCGCAUACGCUCUACGGAGGAAAGCCGGGGACCGCAAGGCCUGGCGCUAAUAGAUGAGCCCAAGUCGGAUUAGCUAGUUGGUAGGGAACGGCCUACCAAGGCGACAAUCCGUAGCUGGUCUGAGAGGACGACCAGCCACACCGGAACUGAGACACGGUCCGGACUCCUACGGGAGGCAGCAGUGGGGAAUAUUGGACAAUGGGGGCAACCCUGAUCCAGCGACGCCGCGUGGGUGAAGAAGGCCUGCGGGUUGUAAAGCCCUUUCGGUGGGGAAGAAAAGUCUCGACCUAAUACGUCGGGACCUUGACGUAACCACUAAAGAAGCACCGCUAACUCUGUGCCAGCAGCCGCUGUAA